This 493-nucleotide ribosomal RNA is filed under the name uncultured bacterium. RNAcentral's name for it is "partial 16S ribosomal RNA". It matches the Rfam family "Bacterial small subunit ribosomal RNA", at positions 28 to 507 of the family's 1533-position model. The record is from RNAcentral.
GACGAACGCUGGCGGCGUGCUUAACACAUGCAAGUCGAACGGUGAAGGGACCGGUUUUUGCUGGUUCUGGAUGAGUGGCGAACGGGUGAGUAACACGUGAGUAACCUGCCCCCUUCUUCUGGCUAACCGCAUGAAAGUGUGGCUAAUACUGGAUAUUCUGCGCCUGCUGCAUGGUGGGUGUGGGAAAGAUAUUGUUUCGGUGGGGGAUGGGCUCGCGGCCUAUCAGCGUGUUGGUGGGGUGAUGGCGUACCAAGGCGGUGCCGGGUAGCCGGCCUGAGAGGGUGGACGGUCACACUGGGACUGAGACACGGCCGAGACUCAUACGGGAGGCAGAAGUGUGGAAUAUUGAACAAUGGGCGCAAGCCUGAUGCAGCGACGCCGCGUGAGGGAUGGAGGCGUGCGGGUUGUAAACCUCUUUCGCCAGUGAAGCAGGCCUGUCCCUUUUGUGGGUGGAUUGACGGUAGCGGGAUAAGAAGCGCCGGCUAACUACGUG